This 802-nucleotide small RNA is filed under the name Pongo abelii (Sumatran orangutan). RNAcentral's name for it is "processed transcript". The record is from RNAcentral. Lineage: Eukaryota; Metazoa; Chordata; Mammalia; Primates; Hominidae.
GGCGGUGGAGUCGCGCGUUACCCAGGAGGAAAUUAAGAAGGAGCCGGAGAAACCGAUCGACCGCGAGAAGACAUGCCCACUGUUGCUACGGGUCUUCACCACCAAUAACGGCCGCCACCACCGAAUGGACGAGUUCUCCCGGGGAAAUGUACCGUCCAGCGAGUUGCAGAUCUACACUUGGUGAGGAGGGCAGGGUGGCCUCAGGGACCCGGGCCGGGAACCUGGAACAACAGUUAAUUGCCUUUGCCAGUGUAGAGUUAUUCUCCUUGAUUUCAAUUUCAUUUCUCCACUUGAGGCCUUCGGACUCAGCUUUCAGGAAGUUAGAAGUUUUUGUUGUUAGGUGAAAGGAGAUUUGCCCGUAUUGUAACGCUUUUGUGAUUAAUGUUGCAGCUUUUGGGCAGUUUAGAAUGGACAGACCCAAGAUUGCUAUCACUGUUAUGACAGCUAGGUACAAAAGUGAUAGGUAGAUAAUUAAGUUGUAGUAUCCGCCCUAAAGGGACUCAUAGUCAAAUAAAUUGCACUAGGACAACAUGGUAAGGGAGAGUGAUGCUGUCGAGUGGUAUUUGUUAUUCUCAAAGAGCAUUUCCACGUAAUAUUAAGCCGUAGGUACCAAAGCACCAAAAGUGAAAAAUAAACUACCAAAACCCGGGUUAUUUCUUCUCGAAGGGUUAAUGGAAAAGCUUUUGAUAUGUGUUUAGUGAAGAUGGUUCCUGAAUGUUUAUCUCUUGGGUGUACCUCUACAAACUACUGCAGGCUUGUCUUUAGCGCUGCACGUAACUCCUGGGAUUGAUACCAUAAUGGC